AGGACGAACGCUGGCGGCGUGCUUAACACAUGCAAGUCGAACGGAAAGGCCCUUCGGGGUACUCGAGUGGCGAACGGGUGAGUAACACGUGGGUGAUCUGCCCCGCACUUUGGGAUAAGCCUGGGAAACUGGGUCUAAUACCGAAUAGGACCAUGGCAUGCAUGUGCUGUGGUGGAAAGCUUUUGCGGUGUGGGAUGGGCCCGCGGCCUAUCAGCUUGUUGGUGGGGUUAAGGCCUACCAAGGCGACGACGGGUAGCCGGCCUGAGAGGGUGUCCGGCCACACUGGGACUGAGAUACGGCCCAGACUCCUACGGGAGGCAGCAGUGGGGAAUAUUGCACAAUGGGCGCAAGCCUGAUGCAGCGACGCCGCGUGGGGAUGACGGCCUUCGGUUGUAACCCUUUCAGUAGGGACGAAGCGCAAGUGACGGUACCUACAGAAGAAGCACCGGCCAACUACGCGCCAGCAGCCGC
Molecule: ribosomal RNA, 471 nt
Filed under: uncultured bacterium
Lineage: Bacteria
Description: SSU rRNA
Rfam family: Bacterial small subunit ribosomal RNA
Source: RNAcentral